AUACGUAGGGUGCAAGCGUUAAUCGGAAUUACUGGGCGUAAAGCGUGCGCAGGCGGUUUUGUAAGACAGAGGUGAAAUCCCCGGGCUCAAACUGGGAACUGCCUUUGUGACUGCAAGGCUAGAGUACGGCAGAGGGGGAUGGAAUUCCGCGUGUAGCAGUGAAAUGCGUAGAUAUGCGGAGGAACACCGAUGGCGAAGGCAUUCCCCUGGGCCUGUACUGACGCUCAUGCACGAAAGCGUGGGGAGCAAACAGGAUUAGAUACCCUGGUAGUCCACGCCCUAAACGAUGUCAACUGGUUGUUGGGGAUUUAUUUUCUCAGUAACGAAGCUAACGCGUGAAGUUGACCGCCUGGGGAGUACGGCCGCGAGGUUAAAACUCAAAUGAAUUGACGGGG
This 395-nucleotide ribosomal RNA is filed under the name uncultured bacterium. RNAcentral describes it as "partial 16S ribosomal RNA". It matches the Rfam family "Bacterial small subunit ribosomal RNA", at positions 523 to 918 of the family's 1533-position model. The record is from RNAcentral.